RNAcentral lists this ribosomal RNA (571 nucleotides) under uncultured bacterium. RNAcentral's name for it is "bacterial SSU rRNA". It matches the Rfam family "Bacterial small subunit ribosomal RNA", at positions 8 to 573 of the family's 1533-position model. The record is from RNAcentral.
AGAGUUUGAUCCUGGCUCAGAUUGAACGCUGGCGGCAGGCCUAACACAUGCAAGUCGAGCGGUAGAGAGGUGCUUGCACCUCUUGAGAGCGGCGGACGGGUGAGUAAUACCUAGGAAUCUGCCUGGUAGUGGGGGAUAACGUUCGGAAACGGACGCUAAUACCGCAUACGUCCUACGGGAGAAAGCAGGGGACCUUCGGGCCUUGCGCUAUCAGAUGAGCCUAGGUCGGAUUAGCUAGUUGGUGAGGUAAUGGCUCACCAAGGCUACGAUCCGUAACUGGUCUGAGAGGAUGAUCAGUCACACUGGAACUGAGACACGGUCCAGACUCCUACGGGAGGCAGCAGUGGGGAAUAUUGGACAAUGGGCGAAAGCCUGAUCCAGCCAUGCCGCGUGUGUGAAGAAGGUCUUCGGAUUGUAAAGCACUUUAAGUUGGGGAGGAAGGGCAUUAACCUAAUACGUUAGUGCUUUGACGUUACCGACAGAAUAAGCACCGGCUAACUCUGUGCCAGCAGCCGCGGUAAUACAGAGGGUGCAAGCGUUAAUCGGAAUUACUGGGCGUAAAGCGCGCGUA